Molecule: RNA transcript, 1774 nt
Organism: Bombus huntii
Lineage: Eukaryota; Metazoa; Arthropoda; Insecta; Hymenoptera; Apidae
Gene: Uqcc1
Gene name: ubiquinol-cytochrome-c reductase complex assembly factor 1
Exons: 7
Source: RefSeq, a predicted model, not a curated record
AAAGUAAAAAGUUUGAAACAUUUAUAUUACAUACAUGUAAAAGAAAAUUUCUGUAUAGAAUAAAAUUAUCGGAGUUGAGAUACUUAUAAUUAAAUAACAGAUUUUUAUAAUUUUAAGGAACUAUUUAUAAUUUUUAACGUAUAGUAAAUAUUUCAUGAUUAAUAAUUUUUAAAUGUCUAAACCGGACAAGUUUACCUCUUAAAAAACAUUUUUAAUAAAAUCAUAGGAAAUGCGAUUGUUUCGAACUUUGCCGCUCUUUGUAUUCAAGAGUAUAUGGUGAAAAAUACCUCUGUAUUUGAAAAGAAGACAGGGGUUAUAAUUUAGUUUCUCAUUUAAAAAGUAAAAGGUUAAAUGUCUUUUAUAUAGUGUGAGAGAUUUUAAAUAUAUAUAGCAGAAUGAUGCACUGUGUAAGAACGUUUACUUUCAAACAGAAAAUACCAUUAGCGUUGACAUUAAAAUAUAUCACAGAAUGCAAGCUGGCUGAUAAUAGUGGCAUCAACUUUUUAAUCAGACCUCAAUCUUGUCAUUUUUAUAAGAAUGUACAUACGUCUAAGAGUUUAGUUAAACCAAUAAGUCAAAUUGGAAUAAUUAAAACAUUGUCACAUAAGCUUGAUCUUUUUAAAAAAAAAACUCAUUUAAAUGAAUUGGGUUAUGAUUUGUAUGGUGACAUUCCUGAUGGACUCAAUUAUUCGAUAUUUUACAAAGGUUUCAAUAUGCCAGAUACAUUUUUCUCUUGGUUCCUAGUCACAGAAUUGCAUGUUUGGAUGUUAAUGGUACGUUUCAUGGCUGAAGGAGAGAAGGGCAAAUUAGUUAUAAGCAAAAUGGUUGAGGCUAUGUGGCAUGAUGUUCUUAUAAGAGCAGAAUUACUUGGUCCAAUGACUCCAAGAACAAAAAAAAGACAAGUAACAGAAUUGUCAUAUCAAUUUAAUGCAGCUAUAGUUGGUUAUGAUGAAGGAAUCAUGUCAGAUGACAAGGUACUAGCUAAUGCAUUAUGGAGAAGGUUCUUUUGCUUAGAAUGUAACAAUCCAGAACAUCUAGAAAAACUUUUAAUUUAUGUUAGAAAACAGAUUAAUGUGUUUGAUAAAAUUCCAUCAGAAAAAGUUUUUGAUAGAUCAAUAGCAAAAUGGGUAGAUUUGUAAGGUGUCAAACGAAGAUCAUUAAUACUAUUAAGAAUUUGUAAAUUUUAAUUAGGUGGGCGCGUAAAGGAUAUGCGAAGGUCCUGUCACAGGAUGGUCAGUUCUAGUUCUCAAGUUGUACACAAAAGUAUGUUUAAUAUCAGAUAUGUGCAUACUUCCUUUCCAUGUUCUAUACAAAAUUGUAGAUUAGAUAUUAUAAUCAUUGUCUGUGUAUGCGUAUGUGUGUGUUUCCAAAUUAUAAUUGUGUUGACGUAGUCGCGCUAUUAUCGGUAUUGCGCCGCUACUAUCCUUUAGAUAGCCCAAUCCUAUUUACGUACCCCUUUACAUUUGGAAUUCAGUGACUGGAAUUCUUAUUAUUUUUUUCAUUGUUUAUACGUCACUAUGAAGAUAUUUAAAAAAAUCCCGCUAGAAUUCAUGAGGAGGUAAUAAAUCGACAGUUUCACGCGGCGCAUACGAUACCAAACAUACUUUUAUGUAUAACUUGAAAACUAAAACCGACAACCCGUUAUACGUACCGGAAAAAAUAUUCAAAAUGAUGAUGCUGAUAACAUAUCUCAACAGCAUCUAUCAGGCAUCUCUUAAAUAGUAAACAUUAUUAUUUUCAUUGAAAAAUAAAAGCAGUUUUAUUAUUUAAAAUA